RNAcentral lists this long non-coding RNA (264 nucleotides) under Felis catus (domestic cat). RNAcentral describes it as "lncRNA (ENSFCAG00000049966.1)". The record is from RNAcentral. Lineage: Eukaryota; Metazoa; Chordata; Mammalia; Carnivora; Felidae.
GAGCACAUGCGGGGCCCGAGUCUGUGCCUCUGCGGUUAUCAGCGAAGGCGCUCGCACACUGACGGCGCUCGCAUCCAUCCUCCCCCAUGCCGGAACACAGGACGAUCCCUCGCGGCUUCCUGGUAAUGAAUGACCCGAGGGUAACACCAACACAACCUUCGAGAAAAGGCGGACCAUUUCCCCAAGCCCGAGGUACGUUUUCAUCUCUUCUUGAUAGGGAAUUAAGCAGAGCAAGUGUCCACGGGCGUGAUUGCAGACGGAGGC